This 253-nucleotide ribosomal RNA is filed under the name uncultured bacterium. RNAcentral describes it as "partial 16S ribosomal RNA". It matches the Rfam family "Bacterial small subunit ribosomal RNA", at positions 524 to 776 of the family's 1533-position model. The record is from RNAcentral.
UACGAAGGGGGCUAGCGUUGUUCGGAUUUACUGGGCGUAAAGGGCGCGUAGGCGGCAAUUCAAGUCAUCUGUGAAAUCUCCGGGCUUAACUCGGAAUGGUCAGGUGAUACUGCUUUGCUAGAGUGCAGAAGGGGCAAUCGGAAUUCCUGGUGUAGCGGUGAAAUGCGCAGAUAUCAGGAGGAACACCGAUGGCGAAGGCAGGUCUCUGGGCCACUACUGACGCUGAGAAGCGAAAGCGUGGGGAGCGAACAGG